RNAcentral lists this ribosomal RNA (442 nucleotides) under uncultured bacterium. Its description in RNAcentral is "bacterial SSU rRNA". It matches the Rfam family "Bacterial small subunit ribosomal RNA", at positions 958 to 1400 of the family's 1533-position model. The record is from RNAcentral.
AACGCGAAGAACCUUACCUGGGCUCGAAAUGUACAUGAAUCCGGCAGAAACGUCGGCGUCUAGCAAUAGACAUGUAUAUAGGUGCUGCAUGGCUGUCGUCAGCUCGUGUCGUGAGAUGUUGGGUUAAGUCCCGCAACGAGCGCAACCCUCGCCUUUAGUUGCCAGCACGUUUGGGUGGGCACUCUAAAGGAACUGCCGGUGACAAGCCGGAGGAAGGUGGGGAUGACGUCAAGUCCUCAUGGCCCUUAUGUCCUGGGCUACACACGUGCUACAAUGGCGGUGACAGCGGGAAGCCAGGUCGCAAGGCCGAGCCGAUCCCGAAAAGCCGUCUCAGUUCAGAUUGCACUCUGCAACUCGGGUGCAUGAAGGUGGAAUCGCUAGUAAUCGUGGAUCAGCAUGCCACGGUGAAUACGUUCCCGGGCCUUGUACACACCGUAGAGAC